AUGGAGAUGGACCCACCACCCAAAAUGCUUGCCUCUCUCACCAUGACCAUACUGAUGAUGAUGAUGGCCACCUCCACCGCACUUGCGUCGGAUGCAGCGGUGCUCGAAGGACAAGCAAGAGCACUUCUCGUCUGGAAAGACGGCCUCGACAACCAAAGCCAGCAAGCCCUGCACUCCUGGGGAAACACGUCGACGCCUUGCAACUGGCGCGGCAUCAAUUGCGAUAUCGGUGUGCAGCGACACCAACAUUGGCCGGUGAUCAGCGGCAUCUCUCUACGGGGUAUGCGGCUGAGCGGAGCUCUGGAGUCCCUCAACUUCUCAGCCUUGAGGACCUUGGCAUGCCUCGACCUCUCAAACAACCUCCUCACUGGGAGCAUUCCUCCUAGUAUCGAGGUCCUUGGCGAGCUCCAUGCUCUCCUUCUGCAAGGCAACCAGAUAAGAGGCUCAAUCCCACUAGGUCUAGGAAAUCUCACAAAAUUGCAUUCCUUAAUACUUCACGAAAAUGAACUCUACGGUGAAAUACCAAGCCAGAUAGGCAACAUGAGUAGUCUUGUCACCCUCAACUUAAGUAGAAGGUGCACCAUCCUCAUCGACCCCUGCUGCUGCUCCUCUCCCGCACGGGGCCAAACCCCUGCGCCAGCUCCGCUGCCGUGGCACAAGCACCUCCUCACGGCCACCGUCGCUGCAGCGUCCGCGCUGGUGGCCCUCGCCCUCGCCGCCUUCUUCGACUGCUGCACGACCCAUCUCGCCUGUGCCACCGAUGUCGUUGACCUGCUCUCAUGCGAGGACGCGCGCCUGGGCUCCCCGCAGCGCCCGUCGCGUCCAAGGACAGGGCCGACGUCGCCACCAACCUCAGGAGUGAGGAGGCUCCUACUAGGGUCCUCCAACUGCGCGGCCACCGGCGUCCCUACAGCGGUCUUGUUCUCCAAGGUGCCCGCCGUGCACGGGGCCUUCCGGGAUUCGGCGUGGGCCCUCCACGCCUGGGUGCGCGGCGAGCUCAAUGGUCCGGUAGACCGGUACUGAAGCUCGGGAACCAAGGAGGAGACUUUGAUACUGAUGACACUGGUGCAACCUCAGCACUGCUCCCUGCACUUGUCCUACAGAGACUACAGGGUAAAGUGAAGAAAGCUACGGAGAGCAGUGAAUUAGCGAGGAGAUUCCCUAACGUUCCCAAGGCGCAAGAGAAGGGGUGUACCAGAUGAAACACUGAAAAAAUUGGAAGUCUAGUGAACACCAGAGGACUGGCGCAGCUCAUUUCUAGCGCGCCUUCAUAAGCCUCCUGUGCAACGCUCGGUUCGAAGAGCUGUCCGUGCAGGAUCUCUUUCGGACCUACUAUAUGAACAUUGUUAGAGAUAUAUUUGGGAUACAUGUAUUUGAUAGUCUAGAAUUUGUAAUCCGUCUUCUACCUUAUCUUUAGAAGAGUUUCUUGCCCUCCAAGUCUUGCACUCAAUAUAUACUCGCCCUCGAGACUCAGUAAUACAUCCAUCAUAUUCCGUAACAAUACCCUCCUCUCUCUCUCUCUCUUCUAACAUGGUAUCAGCCUAAUCGAUCAUAAAGCCUAGCCGCCAUCGCUUCCGCACCCGCGCGCCGCCCCCGGGGCGCUCGGCCUCCAUGACCGCCGCCGGGGGCCGUGCCAUCCGUAGAUAGGGUUCGUCCGCCGGUCCUGUUGACCGGCUGCCAUAGAGAGUCUUUUUCCCGAGACCUUGCUUGGAGGUUUUGUUUUUGGUUUUCCGAUCUAUGCUUAGAUCGGUUUGUGUCACGCGCCGCCGCCGUCGAACCCCGUGCGUCUCCACUCCAACACCGACACGACCGGCUGGCCUCUCCUCCGCCCCGGCGGCCACGCGCGCCGAGGCGGCCGUCAGGGCCAGCCUCCGUCCGCGUGGUGCCUCGCCCGUCGCCCUGCGCCGGCCGUCGCCGCCGUACUCAGACCGGAAUACUGCAUCGCCCCCACCCGACGGCCUCGCGCCAUGCGGCGGCCCAUCAUAGCCUACUUUCGCCCGCCGGCCCGCCCUUCGAUCUACGUCGUGCCUGUACGGCCACCACGCUGGCCGUCAUCGCUGGCCUCAUCGCGGACUCCGCCGUCAACCCGCCUCCACCCAGCAGCGUCCCGGCCUCGCGCGUGAUCGGCUUGAUCACCACUCGCCGCCACGAUCCGUCCCAUCUAUGUUGCCCGACUAACCUGGCUCGUCGGAUGCGCGCGCCCCGCAGGUCCGGUGAAGAUCGUUCCCGAGUUCAACGUGCCCCUCCAUCGAUCGAGCAACGGGUUGCCGCUGUGUCGCCCCGCCGCCGCAGCGCUGCCGCCCUGUGGUUCUCCUCACGGUUGCAUCGACUCGCGCGUCACCGAUGUGUCUCCCUUCGGGCCGUAGUGCUGCGAUACGCGGUCCUCGCCGCCGCCCCGAGGCCGCCCCCGCGGUUACAUUGACCCGCGUUCCGUCGCUGCGCCGCCCCUUUAGGUUGUAGCGCCACGGCCCGCGGUCCCCGCUACCGCCUCGAGGUCUUCCCGCAGUCGCCCUGACCUGCCCGCCGCCGCUGCGUCGCCCCUUCAGUUCGUAGCGCCGCGGCCCACGGUCCACUCUGUCAUCCACGCGUGUUGACUUCAUGUGGUAUGCGCCGCGCCGCCUCCUUUGGCGCGGGAACGCCCCUGUCCGCGGGUCUUCGUCAUGCUGCCGGGUUCCUCGCCUACUUCGAGCACCACCGCCGCCGCCGCUGCCCAUCCACCCUCCUCGUCUUCAUCCAAGCACUAGCCCAUCGCCAGCGUCGCCGUCAUCUACCCCGACCACUUCGUCUACUCUGACCACCCUUGGUGAUAUCGGCCCCGCGCUGAUGGACGCCGCAAUCAUCGUCGAUUUCUUCCCCGCUGGCCUCUCUGACUUCUCCGACAUGGCGCACAGCUCGUGCAGGUUCCAAUCUACGCAUGCCCGGUGCUGGCAGCACCUGUGCUUGCCUUCGUCCAUGACGUGUCCCCGGGCCUGGCAAGCUUGGUGCAGCGUUUCUCUAGACACCAUCAACACAUCCAGGCAGUACACAGGCUGUGACUUGCUAAUGGCACAGCAUUCUCAUAUGCUGCUUAUUGGUUGAUGACCAUUCAUCAACAUGGUUUUAGUCCACUUUGCUCUCGUGUCGAUUUGGUGACUUCCCCGCCGUCGUACUUUUAUGUUGUGUCACCACUAGGAUUUAUUUAUUUGUAACGAAUCAAAAUUAAUGACCUGUUAAGUGGAGCGAACGAUUUUCUUUGCAAGAAAUAUGGUGACUUGCUGUUGUAAUAAAUAAGUUUACUCUGUUUGUUGUUGGACAUGUAUUUGGUUAUUUCGAU
Molecule: ribosomal RNA, 3313 nt
Filed under: Triticum aestivum (bread wheat)
Lineage: Eukaryota; Viridiplantae; Streptophyta; Magnoliopsida; Poales; Poaceae
Description: partial small subunit ribosomal RNA
Source: RNAcentral